CCCUGGCAUUUUAAAAUGCUUGGUGUUAGUCAGUGAACCACAAGUUAAAAGGCUGGCCACAGAGAACCUGCAAUACAUGGUAAAAGCCUGCCAAGUGGGGUCAGAAGAAGAACCUUCCUCCCAGCUGACUUCUGUGUUUAGGUAACUGGAAAAUAUGCCAACUGGCAAGGAAACUAUUGCCAGCCAUUUGACAGCCAACAUGUUUUUUAAAUAACUAAUUAUCCAAAACAUAAUGUGUUACUACUUGUUUAUAGUAUUUCAAUUAUUGUAUUUUUGGCAGUAGUUUUGUUACACUGUGAUGUUUUAUUGAAAAAUAAAAGUGCCAGUGAAAAAG
RNAcentral lists this small RNA (334 nucleotides) under Pan troglodytes (chimpanzee). RNAcentral describes it as "retained intron". The record is from RNAcentral. Lineage: Eukaryota; Metazoa; Chordata; Mammalia; Primates; Hominidae.